Molecule: long non-coding RNA, 776 nt
Organism: Cucumis sativus (cucumber)
Lineage: Eukaryota; Viridiplantae; Streptophyta; Magnoliopsida; Cucurbitales; Cucurbitaceae
Exons: 3
Source: RefSeq, a predicted model, not a curated record
AAUUACCAUAGGAGUCCACAUGUGGUAAUUAUGGAUCUAGCACGAUAUACUGCGUAUCAUGUUGUUGGAGAUCAUUUUAAAUGAUUAACCAGUCUAUUGGUGGUUUGAGUCUUUCCUUUUGAAUCUAUAGGUUGUUCAAUGGUCUAAUAUUAACUGUGUUCAGAUUUAUGGUAAUUUUCAUUCUUUUACAGCCUUAAUAACCAAGAAAAGGUGUGCUUUGAUAAUCUUUUCUUUCUCUUCGGCAGGUUGGUAAUGUAGAAAGGAUACAUGUAUACUAUGCCCAUGGACUAGAUAGCCCAACCUUUGUUCGCCGGUGUUAUUGGCUCCUAGAUAAGACCUUUGAACACAUUGUCCUUGUUCAUUACCGUGAAACACAAGAGUUUCAGAAUUUUCCAUCCACAUCGUUGAACUCAAAUUCUGGUUCUGUCUCUAACCCAUUAACUCCGUGGCUUUUAUCGGAGGAACUUGAUUCCAAGGCUACUCAUGUUUAUUUUCUUGGUGAAAAUGAAUUGUCAGGUGAUACUGGCCGAACCUGUCAAAAAUAAAUGAGUCAUAGUUUGUUUGAUCAUUCAUUUUCUAAUCUUUCUUCUUUAUAUUUAAUUAGUUGUUUAAUUUCUUAAAAAAGAAUUAUGGUUUAUUUAUAGUAUAUUUGGUAGUAUGCAUGCCUCAUGUCACGUGGUUAGGAUCUGAAGCUAACCAUACGUGCGGCACUUGGCUAACUACAAUGCCCACGUAGCCAAGUAAGCCUUUCCCGGAAGGGGUAGUGCGCCAAGCAC